This 253-nucleotide ribosomal RNA is filed under the name uncultured bacterium. RNAcentral's name for it is "partial 16S ribosomal RNA". It matches the Rfam family "Bacterial small subunit ribosomal RNA", at positions 524 to 776 of the family's 1533-position model. The record is from RNAcentral.
UACGUAGGGUGCGAGCGUUGUCCGGAAUUACUGGGCGUAAAGAGCUCGUAGGUGGUUUGUCGCGUUGUCCGUGAAAACUCACAACUCAAUUGUGGGCGUGCGGGCGAUACGGGCAGACUGGAGUACUGCAGGGGAGACUGGAAUUCCUGGUGUAGCGGUGAAAUGCGCAGAUAUCAGGAAGAACACCCGUGGCUAAGGCGGCUCUCUAGUACGGUACUGACGCUGAGACGCGAAAGCGUGGGGAGCGAACAGG